Molecule: ribosomal RNA, 460 nt
Filed under: uncultured bacterium
Lineage: Bacteria
Description: partial 16S ribosomal RNA
Rfam family: Bacterial small subunit ribosomal RNA
Source: RNAcentral
CCUACGGGUGGCAGCAGUGAGGAAUAUUGGUCAAUGGACGAGAGUCUGAACCCGCCAAGUAGCGUGAAGGAUGACUGCCCUAUGGGUUGUAAACUUCUUUUAUAUGGGAAUAAAAUGUUCCACGUGUGGGAUUUUGUAUGUACCAUAUGAAUAAGUAUCGGCUAACUCCGUGCCAGCAGCCGCGGUAAUACGGAGGAUCCGAGCGUUAUCCGGAUUUAUUGGGUUUAAAGGGAGCGUAGGUGGAUUGUUAAGUCAGUUGUGAAAGUUUGCGGCUCAACCUUAAAAUUGCAGUUGAAACUGGCAGUCUUGAGUACAGUAGAGGUGGGCGGAAUUCGUGGUGUAGCGGUGAAAUGCUUAGAUAUCACGAAGAACUCCGAUUGCGAAGGCAGUUCACUGGACUGCAACUGACACUGAGGCUCGAAAGUGUGGGUAUCAAACAGGAUUAGAUACCCUUGUAGUC